AUACGAAGGGGGCUAGCGUUGUUCGGAAUUACUGGGCGUAAAGCGCACGUAGGCGGAUUGAUAAGUUAGGGGUGAAAUCCCGAGGCUCAACCUCGGAACUGCCUUUAAUACUGUUAGUCUCGAGUCCGGAAGAGGUGAGUGGAAUUCCUAGUGUAGAGGUGGAAUUCGUAGAUAUUAGGAAGAACACCAGUGGCGAAGGCGGCUCACUGGUCCGGUACUGACGCUGAGGUGCGAAAGCGUGGGGAGCAAACAGGAUUAGAUACCCUAGUAGUCC
RNAcentral lists this ribosomal RNA (274 nucleotides) under uncultured bacterium. Its description in RNAcentral is "partial 16S ribosomal RNA". It matches the Rfam family "Bacterial small subunit ribosomal RNA", at positions 523 to 796 of the family's 1533-position model. The record is from RNAcentral.